AUUGAACGCUGGCGGCAUGCCUUACACAUGCAAGUCGAACGGUAACGGGCCUUCGGGUGCCGACGAGUGGCGAACGGGUGAGUAAUGUAUCGGAACGUACCUUUCAGUGGGGGAUAACGUAGCGAAAGUUACGCUAAUACCGCAUAUUCUGUGAGCAGGAAAGCAGGGGAUCGCAAGACCUUGCGCUGAUUGAGCGGCCGAUAUCAGAUUAGCUAGUUGGUGAGGUAAAGGCUCACCAAGGCGACGAUCUGUAGCGGGUCUGAGAGGAUGAUCCGCCACACUGGAACUGAGACACGGUCCAGACUCCUACGGGAGGCAGCAGUGGGGAAUUUUGGACAAUGGGGGGCAACCCUGAUCCAGCCAUGCCGCGUGAGUGAAGAAGGCCUCGG
Molecule: ribosomal RNA, 389 nt
Filed under: uncultured bacterium
Lineage: Bacteria
Description: bacterial SSU rRNA
Rfam family: Bacterial small subunit ribosomal RNA
Source: RNAcentral